Oryza meridionalis is the source of this 209-nucleotide non-coding RNA. The record is from Rfam. Lineage: Eukaryota; Viridiplantae; Streptophyta; Magnoliopsida; Poales; Poaceae.
AAUAAAUGCAGUUCUAGCACUGUUCAUGUUUAACGUUUAAUCGUUUGUCUUAUUUGAAAAAAAUUAUGAUUAGUAUUUUUAUUGUUAUUACAUGAUAAAACAUGAGUAGUACCUUUUGUGUGACUAAUUUUUUUUUAUUUUUUCAUAAAUUUUUCAAAUAAGAUGGACGGUCAAAACGCUAAACACGGAUAUCUAUGACUGCACUUAUU